AUUAUGGAGAGUUUGAUCCUGGCUCAGGAUGAACGCUGGCGGCGUGCCUAAUACAUGCAAGUCGAGCGAACAGAUGAGAG
This 80-nucleotide ribosomal RNA is filed under the name Macrococcoides canis. RNAcentral's name for it is "Macrococcus canis partial 16S ribosomal RNA". It matches the Rfam family "Bacterial small subunit ribosomal RNA", at positions 1 to 80 of the family's 1533-position model. Lineage: Bacteria; Bacillati; Bacillota; Bacilli; Caryophanales; Staphylococcaceae. The record is from RNAcentral.